AGCUGAUCAAAGUCUUAUAAAAAGAACAGAUUUCUAUGCUUAUGGAGGACAUGACUACACUGUCUUAGGGAGGACAUACCUAGACGCGACACUUCAAUAGGAGACUCAUCAGCGUGCCUUUACUGUUGGCAGAAGAAAGUUGAUAGUAGAUAGUAUUUUAUAGUACUUAGACUGUUCAGAUAAGCAAAAUUGUCGUAGGCUAGUAUUUUUUUUACUUUUAUGUUUAAUAUUUUUUUUGCUGCUGUACCUUAAGUCACACGUCAUCAAACAGUUUCAGUCUGGGGAAGAGCACGAGUUGGGGCUCGUCAACCGUGUGGUGAGUUUGUAAAUGCAUGACGUUGAGUUACUGGACGUUAUAUUCUCUUUAAGAUUAUGAGAUGUUAUUGCCGUGGGUAGUAACAGUUACAUCUUUGUUUCACUCACGUGCACAGUUCCCUGAUGAUCCGGCAACAUUGUGACACUCAACUUUUUAGCGGCGGAUCAUAAAUAAAUAAAGACGGUAUUAUAAGUUGCAGUGAAGAUUUUAUCGGUCUGAUAUUUUUAAAGCGCGAGAUAAAGAGGUACUGUAUAUCUUGAGGAUUGUUCUGUUCCUGUAGUUCUUAUUACAUUCUUCAUGAGGUGGUCAAGGUGUGGGGGACUGAUGUUUUAUUCUAAGCCAGCCCAGUAAACAGAUACCACAUGCAGAAGGAACAGUGUGAUCAAGAUAAAAUCUGAACCUAGGGAUACCAAUACUCACUGUACUGGAUGCAGUGGCGAGAAGAAAAAAAGAUUGAUAAAUUAUUAACAAUCUUCAUUGUCCACCAGCAUCACGACCCACUGGCUGAGCAACGUCUUGUAUUUCCAAAGAAUAAACAAAUAAAACUUUGGCUGGCGAAAAAAGUCGUUUGAGCUUAUGAGGAUUUUUUUGAACUUGUGCAAUCGUCUUGGUUUGUGUGACACGUGUGUAGACACAUUGUAAAUACCAAGAGCUCUUCAGUAAUAGAUAAGUGAACUUCAUUGCAAGUGACAAUAUUCAUGAAGCGCUACAAAUGUUACAAAAGGCAUAGUUAGAAACAUUUUUAGCAAGAGGUAAAAUACCCCCCUCCCCACUAAGCAGCAUCCGUUUUCCAGAAAUCAAAAUGGAAAUUAAAAUAAAAAUAGAGAUCUAGUAAGGAGCGGAAGCAGCACUACAUGCAGGUGACCUGCAGGUGUAAGUGAAGUGCCACGUCUCCAUUGCUGCACCUUGUUGCACAGAAUUACAGACUCAUUUAAGUUGCCAAAGACAAUGGCAAACCAUGCUGCUGUACAGCAGGAAGCUCGUGAGUUACGGGACAUCAUACGAAAGAUCAUCACAGAACUGGACGAACAUCACCGCAAUGUGAACAUCGCCACGGCUACUGGCAGCGCCGCAUCGUUUCUUGGUGGAGUGAUGACUGUAGCUUCCGCCAUCUUGGCUAUCCCAACUGGAGGCCUGACCUUGCCCUUGGCUGGUGCUGGCGCCAUCUUGGCAGGUGCUGGAGAUGACUGAGUGCGACUAACGUCUACGUGUAGAGCGGAGAUGUGUGAGAGUGUGUUUAUAGAAGACUUUCGUGUGGAGUAUCCACUGGUCAUUGUGUCUUUUUGUAGAUUUUGGAUUAUUACUCUGAAAAGCGAGGUUGUGGUUCCUAUUUAGUACAUUGUCAUCAUCAUACUAUACAUAAGGCAUUUUUACAAGGAAACAGCAAUGUUUAGGUUUUAGCUUUGUAGAGUUUACAAAUAGUAGUCUACCUAUCGCAAUGCCAUUUCAUGAAAUAGAGCUUAUGUCUUGGAUUGCUGUUUUGUCCAUUGAUCAUCAUGUAAAUGUCAUGUGACUAGAAAUGCACCAAGUUCGCUCUACAGAACUAGCAAAAAUGAUGUAGAUGUAGUAUUUUUUGUUCGCUUAUUAAAAAGAAUUAUAGAAAAGUGGUAAAUCUAAUCAAUGUUAAUGCAAGCAAACUCACAUGUGAAAGAUUUACUAAAAGCAUAAACAACACCUAACUGUAGAUAUGUCGAUGUUGUCACAUGAGCAACAUUAUGAAGAGCAGUGUUGUGCCUAAAGGGACAUAAUAAAACAUUUGUCUAUGCUUGCUUGAUGUUAAUUCUCUCCCUUUAAUACAUUUUCAUUUCCGCACGCAUUCGUCAGUCACCAGUUGAGGACUAAAGAACACUUAAAGAUGUGGUAAGGCAAAGUGUGUGGUAAUCGGCGUGGGACUCAUGUCAUGUCUCUUCAACCUCACCUGUUGCUGAAACACAUUUACUAAGCAAAGGAAACAUUAUUUACCCAAUUUUUUUAAAAAGACUACUGACACUUUACUGAAAGCAUUGAAACUACUCCUAGAAAUUUUUACAUCACGAAUCGUCUUUCUUUAAAAGUUGUACUUGAAAUUUGAGGAUGGAUGCGGGGAAGGGAAUUUGUCUGGCCUGUCGUCAGUGAAUGGCAUCUGAUCUCUCAGUAUCUGAUAACGAUUAUAGACAAGGUGGCUUAGGCUCUGCUUUCUGCAAACAAAUUUAGAGCUCACUGUACUUACGUUUUCAAGAGCAAUCCCUACAUCGUCUGUCAACAUUUGAUAUAUUGUUUCAUUCCAAUCAUUAUUUAUGCGCGGAGUCACAACAGUGACAUUUGGCGGCUGACAGGUGAUACUCGGCAUCUUAACAUGAAAGGUAGGGGGUAAGGGGGUUAGUCUAGUCAGAAGUAAAAUUGAGGAAUAAUGUCAGGUAUUUGCUGUGCUGUCUGUACCAGUCCCCAGGCACCUGAUUAGUGCGCUUCACUGGAGAAUAAAAGAAAAGAACUGUUUGAGGCCUUCUCGGGAAUGUAAUUUGAAACACCGCUCCCCCUCCAUUCAGCCCCCAAUAAGUUGUACAGAAAAACUAACUAAAUUCCUGGUUUGUCAAGAUAGGUAGAAAAUGCGUUCACUGAUCUUACGACCACAAACAAACGACACUUAUUUCUUGAAAUAAAGUGAUAUCUGAAAUA
This 2971-nucleotide unclassified non-coding RNA is filed under the name Pomacea canaliculata. RNAcentral's name for it is "uncharacterized LOC112566878, transcript variant X2". The record is from RNAcentral. Lineage: Eukaryota; Metazoa; Mollusca; Gastropoda; Architaenioglossa; Ampullariidae.